GAAAGCUAACGGCCAGGGAGAGGAUCAGUCUCUUGCUGGACCCUGGCAGCUUUGUUGAGAGCGACAUGUUUGUGGAACACAGAUGUGCAGAUUUUGGAAUGGCUGCUGAUAAGAAUAAGUAGAGACGGGCUUUUGCCAUGUUGGUCAGGGUGGCCUUGAACUCCUGGCUUCAAGCAAUCCACCCACCUCGGACUCCCAAAGUGUUGGGACGACAGGCGUGAGCCACGGUACCCUGCCUUGUGUUUCUUUAUACGUCCUCCUUCAUUUUCCUGGAGACAGCGUGGUCACUGGACGAGGCCGAAUCAAUGGAAGAUUGGUUUAUGUCUUCAGUCAGGAUUUUACAGUUUUUGGAGGCAGUCUGUCAGGAGCACAUGCCCAAAAGAUCUGCAAAAUCAUGGACCAGGCCAUAACGGUGGGGGCUCCAGUGAUUGGGCUGAAUGACUCUGGGGGAGCACGGAUCCAAGAGGGAGUGGAGUCUUUGGCUGGCUAUGCAGACAUCUUUCUGAGGAAUGUUAUGGCAUCCGGAGUCAUCCCUCAGAUUUCUCUGAUCAUGGGCCCAUGUGCUGGUGG
Molecule: small RNA, 570 nt
Filed under: Pongo abelii (Sumatran orangutan)
Lineage: Eukaryota; Metazoa; Chordata; Mammalia; Primates; Hominidae
Description: processed transcript
Source: RNAcentral